UUAUACUUAGUGGCGGACGGGUGAGUAACGCGUGGGCAACCUGCCCCGUGCCGGGGGAUACCGCCUGGAAACAGGCGCUAAUACCGCAUAAGCGCAUACAGCCGCAUGGCAGUAUGCGGAAAGCUCCGGCGGCACGGGAUGGGCCCGCGCCCGAUUAGCCAGUUGGCGGGGUAACGGCCCACCAAAGCGACGAUCGGUAGCCGGCCUGAGAGGGCGGACGGCCACAUUGGGACUGAGACACGGCCCAAACUCCUACGGAAGGCAGCAG
Molecule: ribosomal RNA, 268 nt
Filed under: uncultured bacterium
Lineage: Bacteria
Description: partial 16S ribosomal RNA
Rfam family: Bacterial small subunit ribosomal RNA
Source: RNAcentral